Molecule: ribosomal RNA, 274 nt
Filed under: uncultured bacterium
Lineage: Bacteria
Description: partial 16S ribosomal RNA
Rfam family: Bacterial small subunit ribosomal RNA
Source: RNAcentral
AUACGGAGGGUGCAAGCGUUAUUCGGAAUCACUGGGCGUAAAGGACGCGUAGGCGGGUUGGCAAGUCAGAUGUGAAAUCCUACAGCUUAACUGUAGAACUGCAUUUGAAACUGCUAACCUAGAGUAUGGGAGGGGGAGAUGGAAUUAGUGGUGUAGGGGUAAAAUCCGUAGAUAUCGCUAGGAAUACCGAAAGCGAAGGCGAUCUCCUGGAACAUAACUGACGCUAAGGCGUGAAAGCGUGGGGAGCAAACAGGAUUAGAUACCCUAGUAGUCC